GCAGGCAAGGUCUCCCCACCUCUCAUCUUCGUCCUCCCGCCCCCCGCCGACGAGAUGACCCACCCCAAGGUCACCCUCACCUGCUUGGUCCACGGCUUCCAACCCGAGAACCUUCAAGUCCAAUGGUUGAAGAACCACGAGAACCUGGCCGAGGACAACUACGUCACCACCCCGCCCCUGAGGGACGGCCCGAAGGAGAGCACCUUCUUCGUCUACAGCAAGAUGACGGUCCUCAAGAGCAGCUGGUUGAGCGGGGACAUCUACACCUGCAUGGUGGUCCACGAAGGGUUGCCCAUGAGGUUCACCCAACGCCAGGUGCAGAGCGGCCCCG
This is a non-coding RNA of Nipponia nippon (crested ibis), 331 nucleotides long. Lineage: Eukaryota; Metazoa; Chordata; Aves; Pelecaniformes; Threskiornithidae. The record is from the annotation of a RefSeq genome assembly.